UACAGAGGGUGCGAGCGUUAAUCGGAAUUACUGGGCGUAAAGCGCGCGUAGGCGGCUUUGCAAGUCGGGUGUGAAAUCCCCAGGCUUAACCUGGGAACUGCAUUCGAGACUGCAUUGCUAGAGUAUGGGAGAGGGAAGUGGAAUUUCCGGUGUUGCGGUGAAAUGCGUAGAUAUCGGAAGGAACAUCAGUGGCGAAAGCGACUUCCUGGACCAAUACUGACGCUCAUGUGCGAAAGCGUGGGGAGCAAACAGG
RNAcentral lists this ribosomal RNA (253 nucleotides) under uncultured bacterium. RNAcentral describes it as "partial 16S ribosomal RNA". It matches the Rfam family "Bacterial small subunit ribosomal RNA", at positions 524 to 776 of the family's 1533-position model. The record is from RNAcentral.